This 64-nucleotide transfer RNA is filed under the name Dichoptera sp. WW-2021a. RNAcentral's name for it is "tRNA-Pro". Lineage: Eukaryota; Metazoa; Arthropoda; Insecta; Hemiptera; Fulgoridae. The record is from RNAcentral.
CAGUAAGUAUUUUAAGUUAAAAAAUAUUAGUUUUGGAUACUAGAGAUGAUUUCUUCUUUACUGA